AGGGUUUGAUCAUGGCUCAGGAUGAACGCUAGCGGCAGGCUUAACACAUGCAAGUCGAGGGGCAGCAUGUCCAGCAAUGGAUGAUGGCGACCGGCGUAAGGGUGCGUAACGCGUGAGCAACAUGCCCUAUACAGGAGGAUACUCCGGGGAAACCCGGUCUAAUACUCCAUAGUAUUAUUGAGAGGCAUCUCUUAAUAAUUAAAGCUUCGGUGGUAUAGGAUUGGCUCGCGUGACAUUAGCCAGAUGGUGAGGUAACGGCUCACCAUAGCAACGAUGUCUAGGGGUUUUGAGAGGAAGGCCCCCCACACUGGGACUGAGACACGGCCCAGACUCCUACGGGAGGCAGCAGUGAGGAAUAUUGGACAAUGGAUGGAAAUCUGAUCCAGUCAUGCCGCGUGCAGGAAGACUGCCUUAUGGGUUGUAAACUGCUUUUAUACGGGAGCAAUAAGGGUUACGUGUAGCCUGAUGAGAGUACUGUAUGAAUAAGGAUCGGCUAACUCCGUGCCAGCCGCCGCGGUAAUAC
RNAcentral lists this ribosomal RNA (523 nucleotides) under uncultured Bacteroidota bacterium. RNAcentral describes it as "bacterial SSU rRNA". It matches the Rfam family "Bacterial small subunit ribosomal RNA", at positions 8 to 526 of the family's 1533-position model. The record is from RNAcentral. Lineage: Bacteria; Pseudomonadati; Bacteroidota.